Molecule: ribosomal RNA, 253 nt
Filed under: uncultured bacterium
Lineage: Bacteria
Description: partial 16S ribosomal RNA
Rfam family: Bacterial small subunit ribosomal RNA
Source: RNAcentral
UACGUAGGGUGCGAGCGUUAAUCGGAAUUACUGGGCGUAAAGCGUGCGCAGGCGGUGAUGUAAGACAGGUGUGAAAUCCCCGGGCUUAACCUGGGAACUGCAUUUGUGACUGCAUCGCUGGAGUGCGGCAGAGAGGGAUGGAAUUCCGCGUGUAGCAGUGAAAUGCGUAGAUAUGCGGAGGAACACCGAUGGCGAAGGCAAUCCCCUGGGCCUGCACUGACGCUCAUGCACGAAAGCGUGGGGAGCAAACAGG